UGUCAAAAAGCAGCAAACCCAAAAGAUAUAUUUCUUUUUCCUGCCACUCACAGUAGGGGCUGCUCUGUUCCUACCCACCUUGUUCCCUUUGAGGAAAGCCCAAAGGUAAAAGAGGCUAUGAUAGUAUCAUCAUCAUCCCAGAAAGGGGGUCUCUAAAAGAGAACUGACACCUACAGGGAUCAGAAGGGCAAACCACUUUGGGGGAGCUUCACGGGAAAUGGGGAAGUUGUGGGGACACUCAUGUGGUUAGUGGCCACGUCUGUCAUCCUUCAGGCCUGUGGGCCAGGUUUGGCUGGCUGCUGCUACUGGAGAGCUCCUUCUCCUGGGCCUGCCCUUGGACCAUCCAAGCCUUCCCAGCUCCAACAGUAGCCCACAGCACAUCUACAGCCGUACCACUCCUCCCCUCCACAUUCUCCCAAUGAGCCCGUGCUCCACCUGGCGAGGCCCUCAUUCUUUGGCCCUGUCAGUUUCAGAUCCUCUAAGGUAGCUCCAGUUUUGGAUUAGGUCGGGAGGCCAAUUCUCAGAAACAAAGGAGCCACCCCUUCCCCCACCCCCAUCCGACAGCUUCCUUCCAGUUAAAACACGCAGCCUGACCCAUUCUGUGAAAUAAGACAGGGGUAUUUUAAGCAGGCUCUGUUUCAUCAUCUUGAAUCUCGGUGGCAGCCGCAGGAGCCUCUAGGAGCCAGCAAGUUAAAAAAAAAAAUGAGUCUCAAUGUUCCAGGAGAAGAAGUCCGGGAGGUCGAAGUAGCUGUCACAAGGCUGUCCUGGGGAGGAGGGCUCUCUCCUGCCAGAGCCAGGAAUUCAGACCUGAGCCUCCGAGUCUGAAUUCCAGAGGAGGGUGAGGGGUGACUUCCCUCUCUGAAGUGACUCACCACUAAGUUCCCUUAGCUUGGAUCCUGUCAGGAAACAAGUCAUCCAAGUUCGUGGCAGGACAAAAGUCAAGUCGCAGCAAUAUUCUGUUAUGUUAUUGGACCACAGCUGGUUUCACCAUUCCUCAAUAGAUGGGCAUCUGUUUUGUUUCCAGUUCUUUGCAACUACAAAAAGUGCUACUAAUACAGAUAACCUGAGAAGUCAUCUUAAGACGGAUCCCUCUAGCCUGGGAGGAACUACAUGAACUUGAGAGGUUAGGAGUUCCUGGGCUCCUUACUUGGUGCUGGCUGCAAUGUGGAACCACCUUGCCCUAAACAACUACAAGAGCAAUUCUUGGAGAAGAAGAAGGCCUCACUGACACAUGGCUGGAUGACCCUACACAAAUCACUGAAUUUCUUGGCACUCUAGGCAACUUUAUAAAUAAUAAUAAUCACCUGAAAGCCAAGCAGGUUUCAGUAUCUGUCAUGUGGCUAGACAAGAGAGACUAAAUUAUAUGCAAAUGAAAACCCACAUGUAAAGCAGAAUUGUAAUAUGCAAACUCUCCUGGAUGUCAACUCGUGGACCCCUGGACACAAGAUGUCUCCCACCUAUACACCAAGAUCAUUUAGGAUUCCUUGGAAGAUGUAACAACAGAAAGAAUGUUGUUCAAUGACUCUUUGGGGACAAAACAGGGAGAUGAAGGCUCACCAAAGAGCCACUAGCUUUUAUGUGAGAUACCAAGGUCGUCCAUUGCAUCCCAAUCCAUCACCAGUCACCUUUAGGACUCCGGUGACUCUGGAAGAAAGAGUGAGGCUGACGACUUUGCACAACUCUGCCUCACUUAAAUUCAA
Molecule: non-coding RNA, 1700 nt
Organism: Phascolarctos cinereus (koala)
Lineage: Eukaryota; Metazoa; Chordata; Mammalia; Diprotodontia; Phascolarctidae
Source: RefSeq, a predicted model, not a curated record